Molecule: non-coding RNA, 310 nt
Organism: Lupinus albus (white lupine)
Lineage: Eukaryota; Viridiplantae; Streptophyta; Magnoliopsida; Fabales; Fabaceae
Source: the annotation of a GenBank genome assembly
UUUAGAGUCUAAGUCUUUAGGUACUUCUAUCCUUACAACUCCUUUAUUUACUUAGUUAAUAAUGCUCAAAAUUGUUUUUAAGAAAAUAAGGAAAAACUAAGUGUGAAUAAAAGUAAUUUUCAAAAACAACAUGUAACGGUUUACCAUACUUGAGUAACAAGUUACAUGAGUGAGAAAAGACUGUUGCAUCAGUCUUUCAGAUUUUAAGUGAAGAGGUUUCACUCCAAACUGAUUGCUUUUCAUUCCAAACGUAACCUACUAAUGCCUAAGGGUAUUGUGGUUGAUUGAAAGCCUAUAUAAAGGCAUUGAA